UAUAUAUUUAAGGCACGUAACAUGAGGCUUUGAUAUAAGUAUACAUAGUGAAAUGGUUACUAGAGUCAGGUGAAUACACAGAUCUAUCAUUUCACAUAGUAAGCCUGGGAGCUCAGAGAGGGCAGGAGUGGGAGAUUCAUCUUUGCUGCCCAGGGCCAAGCACAGAAGCCCCCAAGUUAGAGACAUUAGUGAUUGUUUGCUAAGAUGAACUGGGACCACUGGCCUCCCAUUUCCCACCCACAGAACUCUGACUCUCCCUUCAAGUCCAGGAUCAGCCAUUCCUUCCUCUGGGAAGACACAGGCAGUAUGGUCCCUCUGUCUUUCAGGCUCUAAAUAUUUCCAUCACUAGCCCAAUCUCAUUAUCUUCCCCUGAACUAUGAAGUGGCCUCUUCUAUAUGGCCUCCCUGCCUCCAGUGCUGCCUCUUCCUUCAUUACGGUCUCCACAGUUUUGCCAGAUAUCUAACUGAUAGGAUGAUCUGUGCAGCAAACCACAGAAGUAUGUGGCACACAUUUACCUCUGUAACAAACCUGCAUGAGAGUUUAUGGAUAAGAACUCAAUACAUGUUAGUUGUUACUUUGUUACUAUUAUUACUAAUACUAUUCUCGUAGAAUGAGAAAAUGUUCACAGAACUCCACUCUCUGAAGCUCAUCAAAUUAAUUAAAAAGGAGCCAAGGCCGGGCACGGUGGCUCAUGCCUGUAAUCCCAGCACUUUGGGAGGCCGAGGCGGGCGGAUCACGAGGUCAGGAGAUCGAGACCAUCCUGACUAACAUGGUGAAACCCCGUCUCUACUAAAAAUACAAAAAAAAAAUUAGCCGGGCGUAGUGGCGGGCGCCUGUAGUCCCAGCUACUUGGGAGGCUGAGGCAGGAGAAUGGCGUGAACCCGGGAGGCGGAGCUUGCAGUGAGCCGAGAUCCCGCCACUGCACUCCAGCCUGGGCGACAGAGCGAGACUCCGUCUCAAAAAAAAAAAAAUACAAAAAAAAAAAAAAUACAAAAAUUAGCUGGGCAUGGUGGCAUGCACCUGUAGUCCCAGGUACUCGGGAGGCUGAGGAAGGAGAAUCACUCAAACCCAGGAGGCGGUGGUUGCAGUGAGCUAAGAUCAUGCCUCUGCACUCCAGCCUGGUGACAGAGCAAGACUGCAUCUCAAAAAAAAAAAAAAAAAAAAAAAACAGGAGCCCAAAAUACAGAUGGAGAUUUCAGUGAAGAACCUAGACAACAUCUAUGGACUCAGCCACAUGCUAGCUCAUGGGAGGUGGACCAAACCAAAGAGAGAUGCCUGGAAGCCAUGUAGUUUGAUGGACAAGAGCCUGGGCUCUGGAAUCCACUUGGCUGAAUUCAAUUCCUGGAUCUGCCACUUAUUAGGUUGAAACGUUAGGUGAAUCAUUUAACCUCCAGAUAUAGUGUGGCUAUUUGUCCUCCCAAUUUUAAUGUUGUAUUGUAAUCCCCAAUGGAGGUGGGGCCUGGUAGGAGGUAUUUGGGUCAUGGAGGCUAUGAUGGUUAAUACUGAGUAUCAACUUGAUCGGAUUAAAGGAUGCAAAGUAUUGUUCCUGGGUGUGUUUGUGAGGGUAUUGCCAAAGGAGAUUAACGUCAGAAUCGGUGGACUGGGAGAGCCAGACAAACAUCAAACUCCAAGUUCUUCAGCUUUUGGACUCUUGAACUUGUCACUUGAACCAGUGACUUGCCAGGGGCUCUCAGGCCUUCAGCCCUGUGGCUAAAACCUACUUUUGAGGUUUUAGGACUCGGACUGGCUUCCUUGCUCUUCAGCUUACAGACGGCCUAUAGUGGGAUUUCACCUUGUGAUGGUGUGAGUCAAUACUCAUUAACAAACUCCCCUUCAUAUAUACAUCAAUCCUAUUAGUUCUGUCCCUCUAGAGAACCCUGACUAACACUGAGGUGGAUCCCUCCUGGCUUGGUGCUAUUCUCAGGGUAGUGAGUUCUUGUGAGAUCUGGUUGUUUAAAAGUGUGUGGCACCUGCCCCUCUAUUGUUCCCACUCUUGCCAUAUGAUGUGCCUGCUUCCCCUUUGCCCUCCAACAUGACUGUAAGCUUUCUGAGGCCUCCCCAAAAGCCGAGGAGAUGCCAGCAUCAUGCUUUCCUAUAAAGCCUGCAGAACUGUGAGCCAAUUAAACCUCUCUUCUAUAUAAAUUACCCAACCUCAGUUAUUUCUUUAUAGGAAUGCAAGAAUGGCCUAACACACUCCAUGAGCCUUUAUUUCCUCAGCUGUAAAAUGAGGAUGAUAAUAAUCCCUAACUCAAAGAGUUGUGAAGAUCAAAUGAAGUACGUAAGGUGCUUAGCCCAGAGCCUCGCCCAUGGUAACUGUACUAGACUCUCCAUUUCUUAUAUGCUUUUACUGCUGCUGCUGAGGUUGGUGUUAUCUCUAGAGUCUUAGAAAAGGUGUUUGAUAAAUACUUGCUGGAAUCAUGGAAGG
Molecule: long non-coding RNA, 2425 nt
Filed under: Homo sapiens (human)
Lineage: Eukaryota; Metazoa; Chordata; Mammalia; Primates; Hominidae
Description: non-protein coding lnc-SRSF6-7:1
Source: RNAcentral